GGCAGUUUAGCCUAGUGGUUAAGGUGUCCAUGUCCUACAUUGUAGUACCUGGGUUAGAUUCCCAGAUGUGGCU
Molecule: transfer RNA, 73 nt
Filed under: Oryctolagus cuniculus (rabbit)
Lineage: Eukaryota; Metazoa; Chordata; Mammalia; Lagomorpha; Leporidae
Rfam family: tRNA
About the family: Transfer RNA (tRNA) molecules are approximately 80 nucleotides in length. Their secondary structure includes four short double-helical elements and three loops (D, anti-codon, and T loops). Further hydrogen bonds mediate the characteristic L-shaped molecular structure. tRNAs have two regions of fundamental functional importance: the anti-codon, which is responsible for specific mRNA codon recognition, and the 3' end, to which the tRNAs corresponding amino acid is attached (by aminoacyl-tRNA synthetases). tRNAs cope with the degeneracy of the genetic code in two manners: having more than one tRNA (with a specific anti-codon) for a particular amino acid; and 'wobble' base-pairing, i.e. permitting non-standard base-pairing at the 3rd anti-codon position.
Source: Rfam by way of RNAcentral